Erpetoichthys calabaricus (reedfish) is the source of this 1306-nucleotide long non-coding RNA. RefSeq lists it as uncharacterized. The transcript has 2 exons. The record is from RefSeq and is a predicted model, not a curated record. NCBI's taxonomy places the organism in Eukaryota, Metazoa, Chordata, Cladistia, Polypteriformes, Polypteridae.
AUGAACUUGUUGAGUGUGCAUUCGGAUAAACGACGUGUACGCGUUGUGCUCUCCCGCGCGCUUCUCCUCCCCCUCCCGUGCCACAGACGAGGCGGCAGGCCGGCUGUCUCUAAUCCUCACUUUCGAGGUCAGAGCCGCCGGGAUUUAGUUGACCAUUAAGCUGGCAUUGCUCUUCGCGCUUCUCGUUAGGCUUCCUUCUUUAGACGACUCCCUAACCGACUGUAUCGCGUCGUCUCCAUAUAAGCGAGAAGUGACGGGACCGAGCGACAGAAGCGCAGCUUUCAUUAAAUUGGAAAUUCUGGGUCCGGCAAUGUCUCGAGAUCAUAUUGACUCUGUGGUGCAAAGUGUGGAGACCCUGCUGAUAGAGGCAGAGCAGCUAAAGAACCGCUGCCGCCGGCAGAAUGAGGAGAUUCGCCUGGUCAUCAGUGAGUUGCGUCGUGACAACCAGGAGCUACAAGACAAGUAUGUGCAGGCCGAGAUUGACAUGGCAGAGAUGAAGCGUGCCAUUAAUGAGCUUGUAGACACCAAGAUGGCAUUUGAAACAAGAGAGAGACAAGUCCGUAAACUUAGCAAACAGCUUUAAUCUGGACUGCUAUUACAGAAUUUACUUUGCAGCUUUCGAUACGUAUCCUGUGACGGCCUACUGUUUAAUUCCAGACAAUGUUGAUGUGUGAUACGUGGAGAAAAUGAUAGAUAAGGAGGUGACCCUAGCAAACGUGUUGGUUGCGGCAGUCGAGUCUAACUGAUUUAAUGCACAACGUAAACUAAUGUAAAAUGUGACUGUGACAGUAAAAUUAAGAUGUAUUAGUUUUAAACAAUGACUGUAUGUAUUGUAAAUUCUUUUCUACCCUGUUUUACACAUGUAUUUCCUUGUAUAUUCAUUUGUCAAAACAUAUAUCUAGGAUAUUGUCACAAAGGCCAUCUUCUGAUCCGUUUGGUUGUGCCAGUUUGCCUUUUUAAAUUUAAAGUCUCUGCUUUGGAUGUUCUGCACUACCAUGUUGCCUAAACCUACUAAUGAUGGGGCUGGACAGAAGCUACCUUUUGAAAGCAGCUUUAUAAACGUAGCCAUGCAGAAAACUCUGUUCAUACUUACAUAGUCAUAACCUGCUUAUUCCAAACAUUUAUAUGUGUGUUUCAUUAGUGCUCUGCUUCUGUUUUGUGUGUAUAUUUUUUGGUAUUUUACUGUAUAAGGAGUACAGCUUUAAAACAUGGGUAUUGUUACGCUGUCACGAUUCACAUUUCAGUUUAUUAAUGUAGCCUAUAUACAAAGCAUGACAGUGAAAAAUAAAGAGGACAAUUUAUUAGC